Numida meleagris (helmeted guineafowl) is the source of this 8456-nucleotide long non-coding RNA. RefSeq lists it as uncharacterized. NCBI's taxonomy places the organism in Eukaryota, Metazoa, Chordata, Aves, Galliformes, Numididae. The record is from RefSeq and is a predicted model, not a curated record. The transcript is spliced from 3 exons.
UGGGCCUAAAAACAGAGCAGUGGCAACGAUCCGAGGAGGAAAGUUAAUUUACUAAAUAUGAUAUCGGAAUGGAAGAUAACACAAUAUAAUAUCAUAUAAUUAGAACUGAGGCUCGUAAAUCAAAUGAAAUGAGAAAGAGAGAGUGUCCAAAACCAAAGGCCUUACUCCAAAACAGAAGGCGAGACGUCUGGGGAACACACAGUCACUGCCAGGCAGUGAGGAGAGAGUCCCAUGACUUGCAAGGAGUUUUAUCUUUCCCUCUGAAUGCAAAGUCCUCUGGGGCAUGUAGUUCUUCUCUUCUGAGAACCAGGUACACGGAAAAACAACAGUCCACGGAACUGGAACAUUAACUCUUUAACUCCCAGUGCUUUACAUGAUGUUAUGAUGUGGAAUACCAAUAACAAAAAUCAUAAAACCAUGACACUAUCAUAAAGAAAGAAAAAAAAGAGAAACAUUUUCAGUUCACCUUAUGGCUCCAUGCUAAUUGUCUGACAUUUCCAAAUCCCGAAUUCACCCAUCUUGUAUUCUUCACAUUAAAAUGAAAGAGAGUGAAAAGUCUGAAGAAAAUGUAUUUUCAAGCAUGGGAAGAAGCGUGACUUGAGUUUAUUUGUGGUGGAAAUGACCUGGGCUUCCAGAUUACAGCUGUGUGUCCAAGAACUUCGAAAAUGAUUUGCACACAGAAAUGCUAUGUCCACAGAAGCUGAGUGGGACUGGCUGCACGCAGGCCUAUUGCAACCAGCUAACACCCUCUGUGUAGCUGACAGAGCUCCUUUCAGCUCAGUGUUCCAGGGAAAUUACAGCCACCGGCCACCCACGCAUACAGGAUUUAGAGUGCAGGACCAGCAAUGGGACCUACAGCUACAGGGCAGGAGCUGCAAGCACAGGCGCUGGGAAGCAGCACCCUCAGCUCAGCCCCAUGGCACAGAGCACAUGGGCUGGGGCUCCACAUCCAAGGAAGACACUGAUAGAUGCCAGGCACACAGCAAGCACAUGCACGUGCCAGAUCGCAGCUGGGUGGGCUCUCCUGGGCCUCAGAGCCAGGUGACUGCAGCAUGCCAUUCAUAUUUAGUGCAUUAGAUCAGAAGCCAAUUGCUGUAUCUCGGUACCUGUGGAACGUUUUCAAUAUUCCAGCUACGCAUCUACCAAAGCCCUGCUGAAAUUCUGUGGAAUGCUAAUGGCAAAAUAAAACAAACAUCAAGGAUAACAGCAAAAGUUAUUGCUUGCCAGACAAAAACAGAAACAAGAUGCAAUUCCGUCCUCACAGUUUGCACACAUGACUGGGAGCGAGGCUGGUGCCAAGCUCUGCCUGAUUGUGCCUAUCGAGUGUCCCUGUGUUAGGAGGGAAUGUCCUGAGGAGCUGGCUGGCCACUGGCAUUUGGGAAAUGAAUGAAUUGUGCUUGCCAGGUGCUUGGGAACAACUUUUGGCACGCACGAGCUGGCAUGACAAGAGUGUGCGUGCUGUGUUAUUCUUUCCUAUUCUUCUCGACCUUCUCAUUGUAUUGGGGGACUGAACACAAGCCUGUUUCAGAGCACACAGAGUAUGCUGGGGGGUAUUUACAGGUGUUUUUACAGUAUAUUCAUUUUACUGACAUCGAGUAGAAUUACAUAUGGGACAUUAUUCCAAAAAAGACAACAGUGGAGACCUGAAAUGCACCUGGAAUGCAUUCUAUGGAGACACCGGGAAAAGCCAAGGAAAGCAAAGCUGAGAAACAAAGGAUUUAUGGUUUUGUUAUCAGACUUUGUCAAUAUACCCUCAGUUCAGAAAGCUGGCAGGAAACAGCUCUGAAAACAUCACUACUGCAAAGUAAGACUACACAGUGCAUCUCAAGGAUCUCUCCCCUGUGGGGAUGCCUGGGUCAAGUCUGACAACCAGCCCCAGUGAGCACACAAACAGGAAAACUGGGAAACAGAUGGAGCCAUGAGAAGGGGAGAGGGAAGAGAGUGAAGCUGGUGAGCUCAGCAAAUGGGUAUCAUUGUUUCCAAACCCAAGGAGGUCUUCUACUGCAAGGAUUACAGUCUGCAGCAAGCAUCUGAGCUCUCUGGUGCCCUGAAACCUCCUCACUUCAGCGUCUUCUCAAGGGAUCUGGAAGCACAGCUUCUCCUCUUAGAAAUAAUGGAGUUGUAGGAUUUUUUUAUAUCAGAAGUGUUCUGUCCAGAACAAUUUCCUUGGCAUAACCAAAGCAUCCUGCAGGAGCUCCUACCAGGGAGCUGACACAAGCCCUGUCUGCAGCUUCCUUGAUGUGCCCCUGAGGGUGCUGCAGAGAGAGCACCCACCUCAGGAGCAGACACUGGUCCUAUUUGCAGACCUUCCCUACACCUUUUUUUUCCCUUUCCCUCAGAAAACCAGAGUUUUGAUCUUCAUCUCUCUUCAUAUACUAUCUGUGUUGUUUCUUUCUUUCUCCUAGACCUCAACAUUUUGUUCUGAAGUUAAAUUCAGGUUAGCAAAAUCUCCAUGGAGCACUGCAGCUAAUCCGAAAGUCCAGCCUUCCAUGCAGUGACUGAAGGACCGGACUUCCCUAGCCUUGGGUAUGGGUGCAAGCAGAACAAUUAAAUUCAAUUAUUGAGCCUGAACUGUGGGCAAAUGAAAGGCAUCUUCAACCUUAGGCCCUAUGGGAUGAGGAGAUAUCCAUACAUUGUAUGUUCAGUGCUUCCGUGUUCUGAUUAUUUCACUUUUUUUAUCUUAUUCAGUUACUGUAGGUUGAAGUUACAUUAGCAUUAACGCUGCUGUGGUAAGGAAGAUAGAAAAAAAAAAGAAUUGGCACUUGGCAGAUUGCAUUCUGAUUCACAUGUAUUCAUCAAAAUUGUUGUCUAGAACAGGGAAUAAUUAGUGAAUUUAAAUCACUGUUACAGUUAUCAUUACUUUUUGAUACUACUUAUUAACUUUCAUCCCAAGGGUCUGGCACAGUACUGUUCAGGAAAACAAGCAAAGCACAGACAGCUCUGCUAAGACAAGUUUUUAUUUCAAAGCUAUUAAGGACAUCCAAGAAGAUGCAUCCCCACUGCUAAAGUAAGACAUAGGUGAUCAGGUGAUCCAUCCGAUCUGAUCGAUUUAAUUGGACCCAGUCUCUCUUUCUAACAGCAAGUCUCCACUUAGCUGAGAAGAGAGAAUCCCACGGGAUCUGAAGAGGCAGCUUGCAAAGUAGCAAUGAAAAUCAAGCCCAUGGCAGUACUGUAAGUACUUGGUCCAAGUUUCUCACUCAAAAAAGGGGUGAGUUUAUGAUUCAAAGACCAAAUUAUAUAUUCUGCAUUCUGGAUUUUUAAAUAUACCUGAGUAGUUUUGAGUAGUUCUGCCAUUAACUGUGGAAGUGUUAGAUGUACAGGCUAUUUUCUGGUGGCUCUGGGUCUUAUGUUUCCAACAUAUCAGCUUAAUUUAAAAUGAGAUAUGUGUAAACCAUUUCAUGUAAGCAUUCAGCAGGAAAGAAGUGUGUAACUCUGUUCGAACUGUUAACAGAAGUGAGAAUAGACAUCAGAGUAUUUAAAAAAAAAAAACUGGAAAAUUAUGUCAUGAAAGCAAAAUUGCAAAGAAUCAAUCUGUAGCAGAUACUCUGCUCAGUCCUUUCAAAGCUUUCAGAAUCUUUCCACUGGAUUAACUGUGUGAACUAUAAAGUACUUCCUAAGACAAGAAGCACGUAAAAACCCUCAUCAUUUUGACAGUGACCCCUCAUCAAACACAUAUUCACAUCUACCUUAAUGUCUAUUGGACCUCCAUCCAAAUGAGACAGCUAACAAAUCUGAAGAUAAAUUAGGGUGUUCCACAGUCUCAGCUACAAAAGAGUACAUUCAUUAAGAAGCCACAUGUAUGAAUGCACAGUAAAUAAAAGAACUGCUAUACGAAUACAUUAGAAAAUUUUAAUUCUCUCUAUAGAAAUGAUGAGGUCCUAGGUAAACUCUCCCCGAUUAUAUGAUUCAUUCAUGGCACAUGGUAUUGUCUUCAAGAAUUAUGAGUUUUCAAGUUCGAACUCUGUAGAUUUUGACAGAAAACAAGGACAGGUUCAGCUGACAGCUCCUCUCUGUUAGCUAGUCAAACUGUGCUGUGCCAUGAGGGUACCUUGCAGAAAAGCAACUUGCGAAGGAUCUCAGGAGGUAAGCUCAGGAGUUCCCUGCCCCUUCCUAGCAGCUACAGCUGUGCCUACACUGCUCCUAGGGGUGUCUGCUCAGCCCAGUCCCACAAAUCCCCAAGGACACACAUUCUCCCACCUCAUUAGGCAGCCUACUCAGAGAGCCCUAUGUGGAAAAAAAGCAUUUGUAACAUCUAAAUGCAGGAAUGUUCACACGUUUCAGGUGAGAUUGCUUCAAAUUCACUGGAGUGAACACUCAGGCUGAGUAAGUUUCAGAAAAUUCGUGGCUAGUCCAAGAUGAAAGAUAGUUUGGGUAUGUUUUCAUAAUCAGGCCUAUGCUAAAGAGGGAUUUUAAAAAGGCUGGUCAUAGGAUGAUGCUUUUCCAGCAGGUUGCAGAGCAGUGCAAAUAGGCAGUUCUCAGCAAAAGGUCACCUGUGUUCCCUCUUUUGUAUGUUCUGACAGAACCCUGAUCAAUUUGGCAAAGUACUGGUCUCGAUUUAUACUGGUGAUCAAGGACGAGGAUCUGUAUCUGAAAUGGUGUUGGUUCUGGUGUUCUUUUUACAGUCUCUGCACUUUGGAGAAAUCCAUGGUUUAUCUUUCACUGUGGACAUUCCCAGAAGGAUGAUUUGGUUUAAGUGCAAGCUAUGGGAGAGAUGUAUCCAAAAGUGUGAUAUCCCAUCUUGAGACGGGAGUUUGGAAUGCCUGCAAUGAGUGGUCUGAUGGAGAGAGCUCUCUCUUCUUCUGUGUGCCUGCUGAAGGAGUAUUGAGCCCUCGCUGGGCCUGGGCUGUGGGUCGCAGCUGAGUGGACCUUGCUAGUGCUAAAGGAGAGAGGAACAGCCCUCCUCCAUAAAUUCUCCUGUUAUCUGAUCCUAAAUUGCAGCUGGUUUGGGGAUUCAAUAUGGACAUUUUGUGUUUUUACCAGAAGAUUCUACCUCGGGGAAUUAGCUUGAGAAAAAAAACCUCCCAUUUCUUUUGAAUUGUUCCUAUUAGUUUCCAGAAAGCCAAUAAUGUAAAGACCUGUGUAGAAAGCUGUCAGUGUGCACCUAGAAAUCAAUGAGGUAUUGAUUUACUUUUCCUAACAACAUUCACUCUAUUCUUUCUGGCUUGGUGGAUGCUGUCUUUGGAUUACUUCAAGAUGACCCAUUAGGUGAGCCUCCCAGUCAUUCCAGCCAAGAACCAGGAACCCGAGCACUGCAGUGACCUGUAAGCCUGAGCACAGGGCUAGAAAAGCAGGAGCACUGUUGUGUGCCUGCAGAUUCAAUCCAGCAAUGCAGUUUCCAGCAUGACUGUGGAGGGACUGUGGUGAAACAAGUUGGUGGUUGUGCUCACGCUGCUGGGGUGCACUUGUGCCUUCUCUAGGAUGCUUGUCUAGUAGGGGGGACUGUGGAAGGGGUUUGUAUUCUGGAAGUAAAUAGAGGUUAAUUUCUGUUUUAGAAGAUCCCACUUGUGAGGAGAGUAGAAAUGUACGGCUCUGACGAAGCACUUUAUUUUGAGACUGCACUGUAUCUUACUAAAAAAUCAUACUACCAAAGACAGGCCUAGAAAAUAUAAAUUCUCAGCAAAAGAAGUGACUUUGCUGAUGCCAGUUAGCAAAGCUGGUGAUAAAUUCAUUUCUUGGGCACUGUCUGAACGUGAAAGCAGCAGAUUUGCUGUGCCAGGACGUUGAUGCUGUGUAGCUCUGCACUGUGCGUUGGUGAGGUUGGAUGCUACGCUGUGGGUAGGCUAGGUAGAGAGAGCAGCGACCUGCUGCACUGCGUGGGGACAGUGUGUCUGCAGUGUGGGUAUGCAGGAAGGCUCCAGCAUGGGGAUUUAUCUGAUUUCUGUCUUUGUCUGUCUAUCCCGUAUGCCUAUCACUUAAAUACACCCACGUCCAGAGAGAAAUGCAUCAACAGCUUGAAAGCUCACAGCAUCCUACAUAACAGCUUCUGUCAGAAAGUAAAGAAUGCCAUAUUAAGUUAAAACUUCUGUGCAAAUAACAUUGAUGUUGCUUACAGAAAAAUGUUUACCCUCCAUUUUGGGAGCAGUGUCGUGAGAUCCGCAUUGAUUACAACCAUCAGGUUUCAUUUGGGCAUGACUGAGACUUUGUAUCUUCAGCAUCUCUAUCCCUUUCUUCCUACACAGUAUUUUCAUUUCAAAUAGGAGACAAACAUCAGCGGUAUUUUAUUAAGUGCUUUUAUUUUUGCAUUACAUAGAGUGACUCUAGGAAUGUAGAAAGAAGGUGUUAAGCAGUUGAACUCCAUAGGGAAAGGAGAUUUCUCAAAGCACAAACCCAUUGUUUUUCAUUAUAUUCUAAUUGCGUUGAGUGGGCACAAUUUUCUGGAGUUAAAUAUGAACUUUUAGGAGAAGCCUAUAGGUGAAAGACUGGACAGCAUGCUGCGGUCAUGGCCUCUCUCAGAGCACCCAGUGGUCUUUGGGAGCUUGGUAUUGCACUUUGGCUGGAGCAAUCCAGCUGCCAAGCCCCAUACCAACCUCACAGAUGCAGCCCUGAGAGGAAGGAAGGCUCUGGGCUCUGUUCUUUUUACACUACCUAAAUGCCAACCAUCCAACUGUCAGCUCUCAUUUUCCUGUUACAAGUCCUGGGUAAUUUCAUAUUCACCGCUAUUUCAUUUGUGUCUGCCAGGACUAGAAAAUGAGACUUCAACUCCUGAAGCCGCACAGUUCCAUUAAAAAUAAGGUUAAAAGAGAAAAAUGAAUAUUUACAUACGUAAAGCUUGGGAUGGGUGAUUUCAUCCGGAACAUCCCCACAGUGCUCUGUCAGAGUACCACCACCAGCCUCCUGCUCCAGCUCCCACCCCACACUGCGAACAGCCUGCAGCGCUGGGCUUUGGCUCAGGUGAUAGCUCCCAUGGCAUGACACACUGCACAAUCACUUCACUUUUUUCUUGCCUGUGAGCUAACUUCUUCACUGACAAUUCUGAAUACAACUUCUGAAAAGUUCUUCAGCUCAACUUCUCUUGUGGAGAUGAGGGCAAGCCCUGAGAGGCAUGGGGCUGCUUGCUUCAGGCACAAUGAUGGAGAGUUCUGAAUAGCAAAGGCAGUGAGGAAAGAAGCAAAAACUGUAAAUCCAAAAUUCACUGAACUUAUCUUUGUUGUAUCACUACAGAUCUAUUUCUGAAAGUAUGGAGAACCUCCCUCUUCAUAUGAUUUUACCUACAGCUGUGAGAAAAUUCCUCCAAAAAUGGCAUUUUUACAGGGGCUGCUCUGAAAGUAAUGCCUCCUAUUUUAUUAUGUCAGUCCACAACAUCAGAAGCAGAUGGUGGUGGUAUAACGAUAGAACCUGAACCUUACCACCAAUAUCAAGUAUUUUGUUGCCGUGCGACAGAUGGCAGCAGAGGGGCAGUGUGACAAAAUGGCAUCUGACAUGGAAAUGCGGAUAAAGCAAAGGUGUGCCAUUGAAUUCCUCCAUGUGGAAAAACAUUGCACCCAUUGACAUUCAUCAAUGCUUGCUAAACAUUUAUGGAGACCAAACAGUGGAUGUGAGCACAGUGAGGUGGUGGGUGGUAUGUUUCAGUAGUGGUGGCUGUGAGAUAAGCCACAUUCCAGGUGGGCAUGCACAGCUAUCACAGUAAGAAAUGAAGAGCGUCUUGAUCAGCUCAUCCACAUGAACUGGAAGAUUACGACCAGGUAACGGAGUGUACAGAGCUGAAUAUUGGCUUCAAUGCACUGGAAGUGGUGGCAGUGUUACAAUAUCAUAAGGUUUGUGCCAGGUGAAUCCCAUGAGUGCUCACACAGGCACAGAAAGAACACCAUAUGCAAGUUUGUCAGGCUCAAUUGAACAAAUAGGAGGCUGAAGGUGACAGUUUCUUGGAUCACAUCAUUACUUACAAUGAGACAUGGUAUCACCACUCUGAGCCAGAGUCAAAAUGGCAGUCCAUGGAAUGGUGACAUUUGAAUUCCCCACCAAAGAAAACGUUCAAGAUGCAGCCCUCAGCAGGUAGAGUGAUGUGCACUGUCUUUUGGGAUAGGAAAGCGGCGAUCCUUGUGGAUUUCCUGGAACCUGGGCAAACCAUUAACUCUGACCUCUGCAUCAUCACGCUGACUAAGCUGAAGACUUAAACAUCUAGAGCCAGACCAGAGAAGGUCAGUCUUUCUCUUGCAACAUAAUAUCAGGCCCCAUACCAGUUUGAAGACCGUGGAACACAUUGCCAGUCAUGGCUGGACUGUCUUACCAUACCUACUGUAUAGUUCAGAUUUGGCACUUUAUAACUUCCACCUGUUUGAGCUGAUGAAAGAUGGACUGUAUGGGCAGCAUCUUCCUAGCAAUGACACCAUCAUAACAGCUUUGAAACAGUGGGUCACCUCUGCUGGUGCAGAUUUUUAUGACUUUAGCAUGCAGGCUCUUGUUCAUUGCUGGUGAAAAUGAAUAGCUAAUAGUGGUGACGAUGCUGAAAAAUAAUG